AGAAUCAACGCUGGCGGCGUGCCUAACACAUGCAAGUCGAACGAGAAAGUGGAGCAAUCCAUGAGUAAAGUGGCGCACGGGUGAGUAACACGUGACUAACCUACCCUUGAGUGGGGGAUAACCUAGGGAAACCUGGGCUAAUACCGCAUAAUACCUUCGGGUCAAAGGAGCAAUUCGCUUUAGGAGGGGGUCGCGGCCGAUUAGUUAGUUGGCGGGGUAAUGGCCCACCAAGACUGUGAUCGGUAUCCGGCCUGAGAGGACGCACGGACACACUGGAACUGAAACACGGUCCAGACUCCUACGGGAGGCAGCAGUGGGGAAUUUUGCGCAAUGGGGGAAACCCUGACGCAGCAACGCCGCGUGGAGGAUGAAGCCCCUUGGGGCGUAAACUCCUUUCGAUCGGGAAGAUAAUGACGGUACCGAGAGAAGAAGCCCCGGCUAACUUCGCGCCAGCAGCCGC
This 460-nucleotide ribosomal RNA is filed under the name uncultured bacterium. RNAcentral describes it as "SSU rRNA". It matches the Rfam family "Bacterial small subunit ribosomal RNA", at positions 26 to 518 of the family's 1533-position model. The record is from RNAcentral.